AUGAACGCUGGCGGCGUGUUUUAGGCAUGCAAGUCGAACGGGUUUAAUUUGCGAUUACAUCAAGAGUUAAACUAGUGGCAAACGGGUGCGUAACACCCUGGUAAUCUACCCCGAAGUUCGGAACAACUCAUCGAAAGACGAGCUAAUACCGGAUGUGAUCAUCGCACGAUGGUGUGAUGAGGAAAGCAGCAAUGCACUUUGGGAGGAACCUAGGUUCCAUCAGCUUGUUGGUGAGGUAACGGCUCACCAAGGCUACGACGGAUAGGGGGCGUGAGAGCGCGACCCCCCUCACUGGGAUUGCGACACUGCCCAGACUCCUACGGGAGGCUGCAGUCGAGAAUCUUCCCCAAUGGACGAAAGUCUGAGGGAGCGACGCCGCGUGUAGGAAGAAGCCCUUCGGGGUGUAAACUACUUUUGUAUGGGACGAACAAUGACGGUACCAUGCGAAUAAGGGGCUGCUAACUCUGU
This 468-nucleotide ribosomal RNA is filed under the name uncultured bacterium. RNAcentral describes it as "bacterial SSU rRNA". It matches the Rfam family "Bacterial small subunit ribosomal RNA", at positions 29 to 506 of the family's 1533-position model. The record is from RNAcentral.